AUGCCAAGGUUGUGUGUGUGUGGAUGUUGUGGUCCUCUGCGGCCACGCUACAAGCGUCUAGUGGACAACAUUUUCCCAGAGGACCCCAAGGAUGGACUGGUGAAAUCCGAUAUGGAAAAGUUGACUUUUUAUGCAGUGUCCGCACCAGAGAAGCUGGACCGUAUCGGAGCGUACCUGGCCGAACGCCUCAGCAGAGAUGUGGUACGACAUCGCUACGGGUACGUGGUAAUAGCAAUGGAGGCGUUGGAUCAGUUGUUGAUGGCAUGUCAUUCCCAGAGUAUCAAGCCGUUUGUGGAGAGCUUCUUACACAUGGUAGCCAAACUGCUGGAAUCCAGAGAACCCGAUUUACAAGUGCUGGGAACCAACUCCUUUGUGAAGUUUGCAAACAUUGAGGAGGAUACGCCAUCUUACCAUCGCAGAUAUGACUUUUUCGUCUCUCAGUUCAGUGCCAUGUGUCACUCCACACACGAGGACCCCGAAACUCGCAACAGGAUCCGUGUAGCAGGCAUUAAGGGUCUCCAGGGUGUCGUCAGAAAGACUGUGAAUGAUGAACUCCAGGCAAUCAUCUGGGAACCUCAACACAUGGAUAAACUCAUCCCCUCCAUGCUGUUCAACAUGCAAGAUAAUGAGGACUCCGAGAGCAUAUUUAAAUAUGGCAGUUUUCAAAAUGUAAUAACAUACAACCAUCGUCUGUGGGACCCGAAUGAUUUUGCUGUUUCCUGUUUCAGGAUAAUCAUGUACUCAAUACAGGCCCAGCAUUCUCACCAUGUGAUCCAGCAAGUGUUGUCUCACCUUGACACCCACAGUAAGAACACCCCGCGUGUGAGGGCAGGUAUCGUUCAGGUGCUGCUGGAGACGGUUGCCAUAGCAGCCAAGGGCUCCAUCGGUCCCACGGUCCUGGAGGUGUUUAACACCCUGCUAAAGCAUCUGCGUAUGAGUGUGGAUUUUGAGCUGGGCGACGGUUCCCGCAGGAACUCCGCGAGCAGCCUUUCCUCCACCCGCACCAAAGAGAGCGAGGAGCGGAUCGUCCAGAAUGCUAUCAUCCAAACCAUUGGUUUCUUUGGAGGAAAUCUUCCUGAUUAUCAGAGAGCUGAAGUGAUGAUGUUCGUUAUGGGGAAAGUUCCUGUUUACGGCACGCCGUGUCACACGCUGGACACCGUUACGUCAGGGUUUAAGUGUAAAACGAUUUGUGCUGGCCUGCCCAUGGCGUUUCUGGAGCCAUUAUGCUCUAUCUCUUUGAUGGAAGACAGUGAACUACGGCAGCUCGUCUUGGAGAUUUUGCACAACAUCAUUGAUCGCCAUGACAACAGAGCCAAACUCAGAGGGAUCCGGAUUAUUCCUAAUGUAGCCGCUCUGAAGAUCAAGAGAGAGAAAAUCUCCAAACAGGAUGUGGUUUUCAUGAAAAAGCAUGGGCAGCAGCUAUACAGACACAUCUAUCUGGGCUGUAAGGAGGAAGAUAAUGUGCAGAAGAACUUUGAGCUGCUUUUCACAGCUUUGGCAUUGAUCACUAUUGAACUUGCCAAUGAGGAGGUGGUGAUUGAUCUCAUACGCCUGUCCAUCGCCCUGCAGGAUAUGGCCCUGGCCAAUGAGGAGAACAUGCCAAUGUUUAUUCGCUGUGGAAUCAUGGCAUUGAUUGCCGCAUACCUCAACUUCCUCAGUCAGAUGAUUGCAAAUCCCCCUUUCUGCCAACACGUCAGCAAGGUGAUUGAGAUGAGAAAUCUAGAUGCUCCGCACCUUUUGCCUGAACACGUCUUCAGAGAGAAGUGUGUGCUCCCAGACUCUUUAGACCGGGACGACGUUGGUUUGUAUUUUCAGACGGCUGAUCUGGCAGAAGCUCUGUCUGUACCUGGAUAUAACGUAGAGAGACUAGCUGUUCCGUACAUACCGCAGGUUACAGAUGAAGAUCGACUGCCCCGUAGGAAGAGUUUUGUCGACACUAUUUCUCUCCAAGUUGACAUCCUUUCCAACAGCUUGCCUGAUCAGUCUCAGCUUGCAGAGGAGAUCACGUUUGAGACCCUGAAGAAGGCCAUCGAUACCACAGGUCUGGAGGAACAGGAGAGGGAGAGGAGACGGCAGGUGAUGGAGAAGUUCCAGAAGGCUCCGUUUGAAGAGAUUGCCGCCCACUGCGAGUCCAAGGCCAACAUGCUGCACGAUCGCUUGGCUCAGAUAUUUGAACUCACCAUUCGCCCUCCCCCGAGCCCAUCGGGCACCGUGACGGUGACGUCAGGCCACGCCCAAUACCAGUCUGUGCCAGUCUACGAAAUGAAGUUCCCUGACCUCUGCGUGUACUGAACCACGGCCUUUCACCUUAACUCUAUCACACAGACUCAACCUUGACAUGUGACCACUGACCUUUAUCACACUUUAUGUGUGUAAACUCACCUGAGCCACUCAUCUUCAUUAGACAUCUUUCACUAUGAACGUCACUUACAUUCAUGUCCAGCAGAAAGAAGGGGUGCAGACUGGACGGCCACUUCAUGCCUCUAUUCUACACCAGUCAGCACACAGAGCUUUACGACCAGCUGUCCAGUCAUACACCAGCUCUGUAGAAUCAUGUGAAUCGUAUGUGUGUGGUUUUCACUUUGAUUCUUGCACUAAACGGCAGCUCCAAGAAUCAAACUGAGUCUUUUAAACACUUGAUUCUUCAGCUUCUUAAUCUAUUGAUUCAAAGGAGUCAUUUAGAAAAUGACUCACUCUGGAUUUAUUAAGGGAACUUAAUUGCUAGCAUUAGCUUAAGUGCUAGUUUAUGUUCAUUAACUCUCAUUUCUAAACCAUCAUCAGCAGAGAGAUUUGAACAUACGAUAGAUUUCUGCUCGCUUAAAUCUCUCCUAUAUAAAUAAUUAUAGUGUACAGUAUCGCACAGUAUAGUAUAGGCUAUUUUUGACAAAUAUAUAUAUAUAUACUUUUAGAUGAAAUGAUUGCUGAUAGUUGCAGAGUGUUAUUUGUAUUCUGUUUGCAUGGCUUAGCCAAUGUUUCAUUGCAAACGUUUGUGAGUUUAGGCCUUUAUUAAUCUACAAUUAGCCUUUAACUUCAAUGUUGUGGAUGUCAACGGGGCUUUUGUUCACCCAGAGUUCUUAGUGAUCACUAUGCUCUCCAUUUUGCCUUCACUGUAUAGAGAAACCAAAUCAUUUGCUUUUCAUCACCAAAGAGCUACGCACUUCCUUUAUGGCCACACACGGCUGCCAAUCAAAUCUUGAGCCAAUCAGAAACUGAAUUCUCUUUGAGGGCGGGAACACCACAGUGUUCUUGAACUCAAACCUCAGAACAGUUUCUAGAAACCCGGGGGCCGAAAAAUGAUGGAUUAUCAGUGAUAAAAUGAUCUGCAUUCAUCAACCAGCUGUUUUUUUUAUCGAGCCACAAGGACGUUGAAAUGCUUUUCUGCUUUUCAGGUGACUUCAUUCAUCUACCUUGGACAAAAUAAAAAUGUGUGUGACUGUUAGAUGCUGAAAUAC
Long non-coding RNA from Sinocyclocheilus grahami, 3452 nucleotides. Ensembl annotates it as protein EFR3 homolog A-like. Lineage: Eukaryota; Metazoa; Chordata; Actinopteri; Cypriniformes; Cyprinidae. The record is from Ensembl.